GAUGAAUGCUGGCGGCGUGCCUAAUACAUGCAAGUCGAGCGGUAAGGCCCUUCGGGGUACACGAGCGGCGGACGGCUGAGUAACGCGUGGGAACAUGCCCCAAAGUGAGGGAUAACGCACCGAAAGGUGUGCUAAUACCGCAUAUGGUCUUCGGAUUAAAGGAUUUAUCCGCUUUGGGAGUGGCCCGCGUACGAUUAGAUUGUUGGUGAGGUAACGGCUCACCAAGUCGACGAUCGUUAACUGGUCUGAGAGGAUGAUCAGUCAGACUGGAACUGAGACACGGUCCAGACUCCUACGGGAGGCAGCAGUAAGGAAUCUUCCACAAUGGGCGAAAGCCUGAAUGGAGCAACGCCGCGUGCAGGAUGAAGGCCCUCGGGUCGUAAACUGCUUUAUGAGUGAAGAAUAUGACGGUAACUCAUGAAUAAG
RNAcentral lists this ribosomal RNA (426 nucleotides) under uncultured bacterium. RNAcentral describes it as "bacterial SSU rRNA". It matches the Rfam family "Bacterial small subunit ribosomal RNA", at positions 28 to 490 of the family's 1533-position model. The record is from RNAcentral.